Molecule: ribosomal RNA, 485 nt
Filed under: uncultured bacterium
Lineage: Bacteria
Description: partial 16S ribosomal RNA
Rfam family: Bacterial small subunit ribosomal RNA
Source: RNAcentral
GAUUGAACGCUGGCGGCAGGCCUAACCCAUGCAAGUCGAGCGGAUGAAGGGAGCUUGCUCCUGGAUUCAGCGGCGGACGGGUGAGUAAUGCCUAGGAAUCUGCCUGGUAGUGGGGGAUAACGUCCGGAAACGGGCGCUAAUACCGCAUACGUCCUGAGGGAGAAAGUGGGGGAUCUUCGGACCUCACGCUAUCAGAUGGGCCUAGGUCGGAUUAGCUAGUUGGUGGGGUAAAGGCCUACCAAGGCGACGAUCCGUAACUGGUCUGAGAGGAUGAUCAGUCACACUGGAACUGAGACACGGUCCAGACUCCUACGGGAGGCAGCAGUGGGGAAUAUUGGACAAUGGGCGAAAGCCUGAUCCAGCCAUGCCGCGUGUGUGAAGAAGGUCUUCGGAUUGUAAAGCACUUUAAGUUGGGAGGAAGGGCAGUAAGUUAAUACCUUGCUGUUUUGACGUUACCAACAGAAUAAGCACCGGCUAACUUCGUG